AGUGAACGCUGGCGGUAGGCCUAACACAUGCAAGUCGAACGGCAGCACAGUAAGAGCUUGCUCUUCCGGGUGGCGAGUGGCGGACGGGUGAGGAAUACAUCGGAAUCUACUUUUUCGUGGGGGAUAACGUAGGGAAACUUACGCUAAUACCGCAUACGACCUACGGGUGAAAGCAUGGGAUCUUCGGACCUUGCGCGACUGAAUGAGCCGAGGUCGGAUUAGCUAGUUGGCGGGGUAAAGGCCCACCAAGGCGACGAUCCGUAGCUGGUCUGAGAGGAUGAGCAGCCACCCUGGAUCUGAGACACGGUCCAGACUCCUACGGUAGGCAGCAGUGGGGAAUAUUGGACAAUGGGCGCAAGCCUGAUCCAGCCAUACCGCGUGGGUGAAGAAGGCCUUCGGGUUGUAAAUCCCUUUUGUUGUGAAAGAAAAGCAGCAGGUUAAUACCCCGCUGUUCUGACGGUACCCAAAGAAUAAGCACCGGCUAACUUCGUG
RNAcentral lists this ribosomal RNA (492 nucleotides) under uncultured bacterium. Its description in RNAcentral is "partial 16S ribosomal RNA". It matches the Rfam family "Bacterial small subunit ribosomal RNA", at positions 29 to 507 of the family's 1533-position model. The record is from RNAcentral.